AUUGAACGCUGGCGGCAUGCUUUACACAUGCAAGUCGAACGGUAACAGGCCGCAAGGUGCUGACGAGUGGCGAACGGGUGAGUAAUGCAUCGGAACGUGCCCAGUCGUGGGGGAUAACUACUCGAAAGAGUAGCUAAUACCGCAUACGAUCUAUGGAUGAAAGCGGGGGACCGUAAGGCCUCGCGCGAUUGGAGCGGCCGAUGUCAGAUUAGGUAGUUGGUGGGGUAAAGGCUCACCAAGCCAACGAUCUGUAGCUGGUCUGAGAGGACGACCAGCCACACUGAGACUGAGACACGGCCCAGACUCCUACGGGAGGCAGCAGUGGGGAAUUUUGGACAAUGGGCGCAAGCCUGAUCCAGCAGUGCCGCGUGCAGGAAGAAGGCCUUCGGGUUGUAAACUGCUUUUGUACGGAACGAAACGGCUCUGGUUAAUACCCGGGGCUAAUGACGGUACCGUAAGAAUAAGCACCGGCUAACUACGUG
This 482-nucleotide ribosomal RNA is filed under the name uncultured bacterium. Its description in RNAcentral is "partial 16S ribosomal RNA". It matches the Rfam family "Bacterial small subunit ribosomal RNA", at positions 30 to 507 of the family's 1533-position model. The record is from RNAcentral.